RNAcentral lists this ribosomal RNA (472 nucleotides) under uncultured bacterium. RNAcentral describes it as "bacterial SSU rRNA". It matches the Rfam family "Bacterial small subunit ribosomal RNA", at positions 328 to 793 of the family's 1533-position model. The record is from RNAcentral.
GCAGAGCACUCUUACGGGAGGCAGCAGUGGGGAAUAUUGCACAAUGGGCGCAAGCCUGAUGCAGCCAUGCCGCGUGUAUGAAGAAGGCCUUCGGGUUGUAAAGUACUUUCAGCAGUGAGGAAGGUGGGUAUGUUAAUAGCAUAUUCAUUUGACGUUAGCUGCAGAAGAAGCACCGGCUAACUCCGUGCCAGCAGCCGCGGUAAUACGGAGGGUGCGAGCGUUAAUCGGAAUUACUGGGCGUAAAGCGCAUGCAGGUGGUUUGUUAAGUCAGAUGUGAAAGCCCGGGGCUCAACCUCGGAAUUGCAUUUGAAACUGGCAAACUAGAGUACUGUAGAGGGGGUAGAAUUUCAGGUGUAGCGGUGAAAUGCGUAGAGAUCUGAAGGAAUACCGGUGGCGAAGGCGGCCCCCUGGACAGAUACUGACACUCAGAUGCGAAAGCGUGGGGAGCAAACAGGAUUAGAUACCCUGGUAG